AACGAACGCUGGCGGCAGGCCUAACACAUGCAAGUCGAGCGAGGACUUCGGUUCUAGCGGCGGACGGGUGAGUAACGCGUGGGAAUGUGCCCUUCUCUACGGAAUAGCCCUGGGAAACUGGGAGUAAUACCGUAUACGCCCUAUUGGGGAAAGAUUUAUCGGAGAAGGAUCAGCCCGCGUUGGAUUAGGUAGUUGGUGGGGUAAUGGCCUACCAAGCCGACGAUCCAUAGCUGGUUUGAGAGGAUGAUCAGCCACACUGGGACUGAGACACGGCCCAGACUCCUACGGGAGGCAGCAGUGGGGAAUCUUAGACAAUGGGGGCAACCCUGAUCUAGCCAUGCCGCGUGAGUGAUGAAGGCCUUAGGGUUGUAAAGCUCUUUCAGCUGGGAAGAUAAGGACGGUACCAGCAGAAGAAGCCCCGGCUAACUCCGU
Molecule: ribosomal RNA, 432 nt
Filed under: uncultured bacterium
Lineage: Bacteria
Description: partial 16S ribosomal RNA
Rfam family: Bacterial small subunit ribosomal RNA
Source: RNAcentral